This 248-nucleotide ribosomal RNA is filed under the name uncultured bacterium. RNAcentral's name for it is "partial 16S ribosomal RNA". It matches the Rfam family "Bacterial small subunit ribosomal RNA", at positions 524 to 775 of the family's 1533-position model. The record is from RNAcentral.
UACGGGGGGGUAAGCGUUGUUCGGAAUUACUGGGCGUAAAGGCUCGUAGGCGGCCAACUAAGUCAGACGUGAAAUCCCUCAGCUUAACUGGGGAACUGCGUCUGAUACUGGAUGCUUGGAUUCGGAGAGGGAUGCGGAAUUCCAGGUGUAGCGGUGAAAUGACGUAGAUAUCUGGAGGAACACCGGUGGCGAAGGCGCAUCCUGGACCGGCAUUGACGCUGAGGCGCGAAAGCCAGGGGAGCAAACGG